UACGGAGGAUCCGAGCGUUAUCCGGAUUUAUUGGGUUUAAAGGGUGCGCAGGCGGAAGAUUAAGUCGGUGGUGAAAUUUUGCAGCUCAACUGUAAAAGUGCCUUCGAAACUGGUUUCCUUGAGUGUAGAUGAAGUAGGCGGAAUUUGUGGUGUAGCGGUGAAAUGCAUAGAUAUCACGAGGAACUCCGAUUGCGAAGGCAGCUUACUAAGCUACUACUGACGCUCAGGCACGAAGGCGUGGGGAUCAAACAGGAUUAGAUACCCGCGUAGU
Molecule: ribosomal RNA, 271 nt
Filed under: uncultured prokaryote
Description: partial 16S ribosomal RNA
Rfam family: Bacterial small subunit ribosomal RNA
Source: RNAcentral